Molecule: long non-coding RNA, 1838 nt
Organism: Chenopodium quinoa (quinoa)
Lineage: Eukaryota; Viridiplantae; Streptophyta; Magnoliopsida; Caryophyllales; Amaranthaceae
Exons: 8
Source: RefSeq, a predicted model, not a curated record
CCUCUCUGGACGGAACUGCUCAGGCUCUGCCCAAUAAUUUGGGUCUCUCUGUAUUGCCCAUGCAUUGAUGAUUACUUGUGUCCCCGCAGCAAUGUCAUACCCAUUUAUUUUGGCAUCCUGGGAGGGAUACCGAAACAGCAGCAAUGGGAGUGGAGGAUUUUUUUCAUGACUUGGGGAUGUCUCAGCAGCUCUGUCAUUGCCCACUCCAGUAGUGUGUAUGAGGUGUCGGACCCAGCAGCAAACAUAUCCUUCAUCAAAUGCAAAACCAGUUUUGACUUUUUGAUUGCCUGGGAUGUUAUUUAGCUGCAAGAAUACGGAGUUGCAAUGGCUAUAAGAGGAUACCGUCUGUUGAUUUUCACACUCGGGCUUUCAGGCACAUGAAACACUUCAUUUUCUACUCCAUUGGCUGAUUUCCAAUCAAAAGAGUAAACAACAUUUGCUAAUGCUAUUUCAGCAAGUGGCUAGAGCAAAGGGUGCCCCUGGACAACCUCUUCUCCUGCUUUAAACGGAAUCAACUGGAAAUUCUUCUCUCUGGAUUUAAUUCCACAGGAUUUCCCAAUAUAUCGGGUCUCUCUGUAUUGCCCAUGCAUUGAUUAUUACUUGUGUCCUUGCAGCAAUGUCAUAACCAUUUAUUAUUUUAUUUUAUCUUAUACUCUCUUUCUCUGGCAUUGAACCAGUUAUGUGACUGCUAAAUUCAGAAUAGAUGAUACAUUUUUUUAUGCCAUUACACCUUUUGUUUGUGUGGAUAACCCUAUCAUAUUUUUCUCGUCUUGUUUUUUACAUGGGAAGAAAACUCUGUUUUGCUCCGACUCAUAUCAAACACGGAUAUGUAUUAUAUUUUGGAGAAGUGGAAUGAAGGGAUGCAUUGUAGUUAAUCUCAGGGUUAUAGAACAGGAGACUGGAUAUGGAAUCACUCUUCUACUUUAAGUGCAUCAUAAGAUUUCAUAGCCUUACAAACAAAUAUUAAUUAGAGUUAGAACAUCUUUAACCGUGUUAAUAUGCAGAACAAUUCGCAUUAUCUGAGGAGAUGAAAGGAUAUGAACAAAAUGGGCUAAUGUGACUGUUUUGCCUUGACAUGGUCCAAGGAGUGUAUGAUCUUCAAAGGACCUUUACACACACAAGGAAUUUAUAUGGCAGUGGACAAUAAAUUAUGUUGAAAGACCAAAUUCUCAGAAGGUCCUGUCUUUGGCGGCUUUGGCAUUCGCCGAUCUAUCAAGACACUAUGACUCAGAAAGCCAUAUACAGCUUGUAGUUUGCCGUGGUAUAUGGUCCGGUACAGAAUAAUAAGAUGAGAAAACAUGUGGAGUAGCAACAGCAAGAAGAGGAGUCUUCCUAUGUAUAGUGAGACCAGUACAUUCAGACAUGUCAAGUGUUUCGGCACUGACCCCAGCAGGACGAAACUCCUCUGGCUCUUCCCAUGUUGCAGGGUCUCUCUGUACUGCCCAAGCAUUAACAAAAACAAGAGUCCUGGCAGCAAUGUUGUAACCAUCUAUCUUUACGUCUUGGGUUGAUUCUCGAGGAACCAGCAACGGAAUUGGUGGAUACACCCGUAGAGUCUCCUUGAUCACCGCUUUCAAGCUUUCGUAAGAGCUCUGUCAUCGCCCAUUCUAGCACCGUGUAUGUCGUAUCUGUUCCUGCUGCAAAGGCGUCCUGCAUGGAUUGUACAUGUAAUUUCAGAACAUAAGGAAUUCUUGCACUUUUUUUUUUUUUUUUUUUUUUUUUUUUUUUUUACCUGAAGUUGAUGAUGCAACUAUGAAAGUAUAACAGUAUAAGGAGAUUAAAGAGGCAUGCCAUAAGAAAAGCUUCCUUACAAAUCAAAACAAAGAAAAGUUGUUAUA